RNAcentral lists this non-coding RNA (30 nucleotides) under Mus musculus (house mouse). The record is from RNAcentral. Lineage: Eukaryota; Metazoa; Chordata; Mammalia; Rodentia; Muridae.
UGAGAUGAAAGGUGCAAAGCGCCAUGCCUG